AUUGAACGCUGGCGGCAGGCCUAACACAUGCAAGUCGAGCGGAUGAAGGGAGCUUGCUCCUGGAUUCAGCGGCGGACGGGUGAGUAAUGCCUAGGAAUCUGCCUGGUAGUGGGGGAUAACGUCCGGAAACGGGCGCUAAUACCGCAUACGUCCUGAGGGAGAAAGUGGGGGAUCUUCGGACCUCACGCUAUCAGAUGAGCCUAGGUCGGAUUAGCUAGUUGGUGGGGUAAAGGCCUUCCAAGGCGACGAUCCGUAACUGGUCUGAGAGGAUGAUCAGUCUCACUGGAACUGAGACACGGUCCAGACUCCUACGGGAGGCAGCAGUGGGGAAUAUUGGACAAAGGGCGAAAGCCUGAUCCAGCCAUGCCGCGUGUGUGAAGAAGGUCUUCGGAUUGUAAAGCACUUUAAGUUGGGAGGAAGGGCAGUAAGUUAAUACCUUGCUGUUUUGACGUUACCAACAGAAUAAGCACCGGCUAACUUCGUG
This 484-nucleotide ribosomal RNA is filed under the name uncultured bacterium. Its description in RNAcentral is "partial 16S ribosomal RNA". It matches the Rfam family "Bacterial small subunit ribosomal RNA", at positions 30 to 507 of the family's 1533-position model. The record is from RNAcentral.